CGGGGCGUGGCGCAGCUGGUAGCGCACUCGCUUUGGGAGCGAGGGGUCGCCAGUUCGAGUCUGGCCGCCCCGACCA
RNAcentral lists this transfer RNA (76 nucleotides) under Candidatus Babelota bacterium. RNAcentral describes it as "tRNA-Pro". It matches the Rfam family "tRNA". From Rfam's summary of the family: Transfer RNA (tRNA) molecules are approximately 80 nucleotides in length. Their secondary structure includes four short double-helical elements and three loops (D, anti-codon, and T loops). The record is from RNAcentral.